ACUGCGAAAGCAUUUGCCAAGGAUGUUUUCAUUAAUCAAGAACGAAAGUAGGGGGAUCGAAGAUGAUCAGAUACCGUCGUAGUCUCUACCAUAAACGAUGCCGACCAGGGAUCCGGAGAAGUUACGUGGAUGACUCCCCGGGCACCUUGUGAGAAAUCAUAAGUCGCUGGGUUCUGGGGGGAGUAUGGUCGCAAGGCUGAAACUUAAAGGAAUUGACGGAAGGGCACCACCAGGCGUGGAACCUGCGGCUUAAUUUGACUCAACACGGGGAAACUUACCAGGUCCAGACACAGUAAGGAUUGACAGAUUGAGAGCUCUUUCUUGAUUCUGUGGGUGGUGGUGCAUGGCCGUUCUUAGUCUGCGUGGAGUGCAUUUGU
Molecule: ribosomal RNA, 377 nt
Filed under: Echinamoeba cf. exundans
Lineage: Eukaryota; Tubulinea; Echinamoebida; Echinamoebidae
Description: SSU rRNA
Rfam family: Eukaryotic small subunit ribosomal RNA
Source: RNAcentral